This 287-nucleotide long non-coding RNA is filed under the name Nicotiana benthamiana. RNAcentral describes it as "long non-coding RNA (NBEN_LNC001649)". Lineage: Eukaryota; Viridiplantae; Streptophyta; Magnoliopsida; Solanales; Solanaceae. The record is from RNAcentral.
UUUAAAAUUAUACCUGACAAUCGAUUGUCAGACUUUGACAAUCGAUUGUCUGGUCCAGUAACUUAGAAAAAUUUUUCCUUGUCUCUUCCAGUGACUUAAAAUUUCAGAAAAAAACCAAACAAUCGAUUGUCUGUUUUGACAACCGAUUGUCUGGUCCAAUGACUUAGAAAUUUUUUUUCAUGUUACUUCCAGUGACUUAAAAAUUUCACAGAAAAUGCCAAACCAUCGAUUGUCUGUUUUGACAAUCGAUUGUCUGGUCCAGUAAAGUUUAAGAAAAAAAUGUUUCA